GUUUUAAUAAUUUAAUAAAAAUAUUGGUCUUGUAAACCAAAAAUAAGGAAUAGCCUUUUAAAACU
This 65-nucleotide transfer RNA is filed under the name Microcerotermes sp. 1 TB-2017. RNAcentral's name for it is "tRNA-Thr". It matches the Rfam family "tRNA". From Rfam's summary of the family: Transfer RNA (tRNA) molecules are approximately 80 nucleotides in length. Their secondary structure includes four short double-helical elements and three loops (D, anti-codon, and T loops). Further hydrogen bonds mediate the characteristic L-shaped molecular structure. tRNAs have two regions of fundamental functional importance: the anti-codon, which is responsible for specific mRNA codon recognition, and the 3' end, to which the tRNAs corresponding amino acid is attached (by aminoacyl-tRNA synthetases). tRNAs cope with the degeneracy of the genetic code in two manners: having more than one tRNA (with a specific anti-codon) for a particular amino acid; and 'wobble' base-pairing, i.e. permitting non-standard base-pairing at the 3rd anti-codon position. The record is from RNAcentral. Lineage: Eukaryota; Metazoa; Arthropoda; Insecta; Blattodea; Termitidae. RNAcentral also lists the same sequence under 1 other name.